CGGUGCCGGAAGGUUAAUUGAUGGGGUUAGCGCAAGCGAAGCUCUUGAUCGAAGCCCCGGU
RNAcentral lists this ribosomal RNA (61 nucleotides) under Escherichia coli. Its description in RNAcentral is "23S ribosomal RNA from Escherichia coli (PDB 3J45, chain 4)". Lineage: Bacteria; Pseudomonadati; Pseudomonadota; Gammaproteobacteria; Enterobacterales; Enterobacteriaceae. The record is from RNAcentral.